CCCUUAGAUGUUCUGGGCCGCACGCGUGCUACACUGAGUGGAUCAGCGGGUCGGGUUGCGCGAAAGUGUUUCCUAAUCUUGAAAUCCGCUCGUGAUGGGGAUUGACGGUUGCAAUUUUCCGUCAUGAACGAGGAAUACCUUGUAAGCGCGGGUCAUCAUCCCGCGCUGAAUACGUCCCUGCCCUUUGUACACACCGCCCGUCGCUCCUACCGAUUGAGUGGUCCGGUGAGGCUUUGGGAUCUGAGCGGAAAGAGCGUUUCGCUGUUUCUGCCCGGAAAACUCAGUCGAACCUUAUCAUUUAGAGGAAGGAGAAGUCGUAACA
This 322-nucleotide ribosomal RNA is filed under the name uncultured eukaryote. RNAcentral's name for it is "partial 18S ribosomal RNA". It matches the Rfam family "Eukaryotic small subunit ribosomal RNA", at positions 1470 to 1796 of the family's 1831-position model. The record is from RNAcentral.